This 253-nucleotide ribosomal RNA is filed under the name uncultured bacterium. RNAcentral's name for it is "partial 16S ribosomal RNA". It matches the Rfam family "Bacterial small subunit ribosomal RNA", at positions 524 to 776 of the family's 1533-position model. The record is from RNAcentral.
GACAGAGGCCACAAGCGUUAGGCGGAAUCACUGGGCUUAAAGCGUGUGUAGGCGGAUCGUUAAGUGCCUUGUGAAAUCCCACCGCUCAACGGUGGAACGGCUGGGCAUACUGGCGGUCUUGAGCUGCCUAGGGGUCGCUGGAACUGACGGUGGAGCGGUGAAAUGCGUAGAUAUCGUCAGGAACGCCAACGGUGAAAACAGGCGACUGGGGGCAAGCUGACGCUGAGACACGAAAGCCAGGGGAGCAAACGGG